CUUUAAAACUUAAUACUAACAGG
This 23-nucleotide ribosomal RNA is filed under the name uncultured fungus. RNAcentral's name for it is "partial 5.8S ribosomal RNA". Lineage: Eukaryota; Fungi. The record is from RNAcentral.